This is a long non-coding RNA of Alosa sapidissima (American shad), 733 nucleotides long. RefSeq lists it as uncharacterized. The record is from RefSeq and is a predicted model, not a curated record. NCBI's taxonomy places the organism in Eukaryota, Metazoa, Chordata, Actinopteri, Clupeiformes, Clupeidae. The transcript is spliced from 5 exons.
AAGCACUUUAGAGGUCUCCGUCAUCAUGAAACCAUCAGAUAAGGUAAGGUGUUGCUGCUCUGAAUGGUGUUGGUGUCUUGGUGGUCUCUACAGCAAACAAUACGGUGCAGGGCUGGUUGAUAUGCGAGGAUCCACAGCGUUCCUGAUGGGUCUCGGUUUCUGCUUAGCUUUCCACUCACUCUGCUGCAGAGAUAUAAAUAUGACAACAAACCUCCACACAUCUGAAGGAGUAAAUGUUUCUCUUUUCUGUAACACGUCUGGUGAUCUUACUCUCAUCAGGUGGAAAAAGGAGGACACCCUGAUUUUUGCCUAUAGUCCAUUGAUAAAUACAACAAAGGAGAACUUCACCUCAGCCAGGAUGAGUGUUGACCCUGCUACUCCGAGAACUCUUUAUAUAUCUCACGUACAUGCGUAUGAUAAGGGAAUAUACAUCUGUGAGGCAAUAACUCUUAAACACAAACUAACACAAACAUGGAACCUGACCAGCUACACAGAUGACAGCCUCUCACCAUUUCAACAGAUCAUCAUGUCUGCUGCCAUAUCAGGGAUAAUUAAAAUUAUUGUAUGUGCGAUAAUAUGUAUUUAUAGUAGCAAGAGCAGCUGAGGGACACGAAACCGAAGAUCCAGACAGGACAUCAGGGUUUUCCACAACCAUUGAUUUUGUGGGCCUUAUAGUCUGAGGAGUUCCUUUUUUUACAAGCCAAUCUCUUUUAAUUAAAAGAACUUCUACUUA